UCUGGUGUCCUGGGCGUAGAGGAACCACACCAAUCCAUCCCGAAUUUGGUGGUUAAACUCUACUGCGGUGAAAUACUGUAGGGAGGUCCUGCGGCAAAAUAGCUCGAUGCCAGAA
RNAcentral lists this ribosomal RNA (115 nucleotides) under Triticum aestivum (bread wheat). The record is from RNAcentral. Lineage: Eukaryota; Viridiplantae; Streptophyta; Magnoliopsida; Poales; Poaceae.